GACGAACGCUGGCGGCGUGCUUAACACAUGCAAGUCGAACGGAAAGGCCCUGCUUGCAGGGUACUCGAGUGGCGAACGGGUGAGUAACACGUGGGUGAUCUGCCCUGCACUUCGGGAUAAGCCUGGGAAACUGGGUCUAAUACCGGAUAUGACCUUCCAUGUAGUGUGGGGGGUGGAAAGAUUUAUCGGUGUGGGAUGAGCCCGCGGCCUAUCAGCUUGUUGGUGGGGUAAUGGCCUACCAAGGCGUCGACGGGUAGCCGGCCUGAGAGGGUGGACGGCCACAUUGGGACUGAGGUACGGCCCAGACUCCUACGGGAGGCAGCAGUGGGGAAUAUUGCACAAUGGGCGGAAGCCUUAUGCAGCGACGCCGCGUGGGGGAUGACGGCCUUCGGGUUGUAAACCUCUUUCGACAGGGACGAAGCUUCGGUGACGGUACCUGUAUAAGAAGCACCGGCUAACUACGUG
Molecule: ribosomal RNA, 465 nt
Filed under: uncultured bacterium
Lineage: Bacteria
Description: partial 16S ribosomal RNA
Rfam family: Bacterial small subunit ribosomal RNA
Source: RNAcentral